RNAcentral lists this ribosomal RNA (437 nucleotides) under uncultured bacterium. RNAcentral describes it as "bacterial SSU rRNA". It matches the Rfam family "Bacterial small subunit ribosomal RNA", at positions 482 to 918 of the family's 1533-position model. The record is from RNAcentral.
CAGAAGAAGCACCGGCUAACUCCGUGCCAGCAGCCGCGGUAAUACGGAGGGUGCGAGCGUUAAUCGGAAUUACUGGGCGUAAAGCGCACGCAGGCGGUUUGUUAAGCUAGAUGUGAAAGCCCCGCGCUUAACGUGGGAUGGUCAUUUAGAACUGGCAGACUAGAGUCUUGGAGAGGGGAGUGGAAUUUCUGGUGUAGCGGUGAAAUGCGUAGAGAUCAGAAGGAACAUCAAUGGCGAAGGCAGCUCUCUGGCCAAAGACUGACGCUCAUGUGCGAAAGUGUGGGUAGCGAACAGGAUUAGAUACCCUGGUAGUCCACACCGUAAACGCUGUCUACUAGCUGUGUGUGUAUUUAAUACGUGUGUAGCGAAGCUAACGCGCUAAGUAGACCGCCUGGGGAGUACGGUCGCAAGAUUAAAACUCAAAUGAAUUGACGGGG